This 1174-nucleotide ribosomal RNA is filed under the name Candidatus Phytoplasma oryzae. Its description in RNAcentral is "bacterial SSU rRNA". It matches the Rfam family "Bacterial small subunit ribosomal RNA", at positions 189 to 1362 of the family's 1533-position model. The record is from RNAcentral. Lineage: Bacteria; Bacillati; Mycoplasmatota; Mollicutes; Acholeplasmatales; Acholeplasmataceae.
CAUCUUUUUAUUUUUAAAAGACCUUUUUCGGAAGGUAUGCUUAAAGAGGGGCUUGCGUCACAUUAGUUAGUUGGCAGGGUAAAGGCCUACCAAGACUAUGAUGUGUAGCUGGACUGAGAGGUUGAACAGCCACAUUGGGACUGAGACACGGCCCAAACUCCUACGGGAGGCAGCAGUAGGGAAUUUUCGGCAAUGGAGGAAACUCUGACCGAGCAACGCCGCGUGAACGAUGAAGUAUUUCGGUAUGUAAAGUUCUUUUAUUGAAGAAGAAAAAAUAGUGGAAAAACUAUCUUGACGAUAUUCAAUGAAUAAGCCCCGGCAAACUAUGUGCCAGCAGCCGCGGUAAUACAUAGGGGGCGAGCGUUAUCCGGAAUUAUUGGGCGUAAAGGGUGCGUAGGCGGUUUAAUAAGUCUAUAGUUUAAUUUCAGUGCUUAACACUGUCCUGCUAUAGAAACUAUUAGACUAGAGUGAGAUAGAGGCAAGUGGAAUUCCAUGUGUAGCGGUAAAAUGCGUAAAUAUAUGGAGGAACACCAGAGGCGUAGGCGGCUUGCUGGGUCUUUACUGACGCUGAGGCACGAAAGCGUGGGGAGCAAACAGGAUUAGAUACCCUGGUAGUCCACGCCGUAAACGAUGAGUACUAAGUGUCGGGAUUACUCGGUACUGAAGUUAACACAUUAAGUACUCCGCCUGAGUAGUACGUACGCAAGUAUGAAACUUAAAGGAAUUGACGGGACUCCGCACAAGCGGUGGAUCAUGUUGUUUAAUUCGAAGAUACACGAAAAACCUUACCAGGUCUUGACAUACUCUGCAAAGCUAUAGCAAUAUAGUGGAGGUUAUCAGAGAUACAGGUGGUGCAUGGUUGUCGUCAGCUCGUGUCGUGAGAUGUUAGGUUAAGUCCUAAAACGAGCGCAACCCUUGUCAUUAGUUGCCAGCAUGUCAUGAUGGGCACUUUAAUGAGACUGCCAAUGAAAAAUUGGAGGAAGGUGAGGAUCACGUCAAAUCAUCAUGCCCCUUAUGAUCUGGGCUACAAACGUGAUACAAUGGCUGUUACAAAGAGUAGCUGAAACGCAAGUUUAUAGCCAAUCUCAUAAAAGCAGUCUCAGUUCGGAUUGAAGUCUGCAACUCGACUUCAUGAAGUUGGAAUCGCUAGUAAUCGCGAAUCAGCAUGUCGCGG